GACAGAGGGUGCAAACGUUGUUCGGAAUUACUGGGCGUAAAGCGCGUGUAGGCGGCUAAGCAAGUCGGGCGUGAAAUCCCACCGCUCAACGGUGGAAGUGCACCCGAAACUGCAUAGCUAGAGUCCUGGAGAGGAAGGUGGAAUGCUUGGUGUAGAGGUGAAAUUCGUAGAUAUCGAGAGGAACACCGGUGGCGAAGGCGGCCUUCUGGACAGUGACUGACGCUGAGACGCGAAAGCGUGGGGAGCAAACAGG
This 253-nucleotide ribosomal RNA is filed under the name uncultured bacterium. RNAcentral's name for it is "partial 16S ribosomal RNA". It matches the Rfam family "Bacterial small subunit ribosomal RNA", at positions 524 to 776 of the family's 1533-position model. The record is from RNAcentral.